AGUGAACGCUGGCGGUAGGCCUAACACAUGCAAGUCGAACGGCAGCACAGUAAGAGCUUGCUCUUACGGGUGGCGAGUGGCGGACGGGUGAGGAAUACAUCGGAAUCUACUUUUUCGUGGGGGAUAACGUAGGGCAACUUACGCUAAUACCGCAUACGACCUACGGGUGAAAGCAGGGGAUCUUCGGACCUUGCGCGAUUGAAUGAGCCGAUGUCGGAUUAGCUAGUUGGCGGGGUAAAGGCCCACCAAGGCGACGAUCCGUGGCUGGUCCGGGGGGAUGAUCGCCACCACGGAAACUGAGCACGGGUCCAGACCCUUAGGGAAGGAGCAGUGGGGAAAUAUUCGAAAAUGGCGGAAGCCCUACUCAGGACAGACCGGGUAGGUGAAGAAGGCCUUCGAGUGGUAAAGCCCUUUUGUUGGGAAAGACAAGCGUCAGGUUAAUACCCCGCUGUUCUGACGGAACCCAAAGAAUAAGCACCGGCUACCUUCGG
RNAcentral lists this ribosomal RNA (491 nucleotides) under uncultured bacterium. RNAcentral's name for it is "partial 16S ribosomal RNA". It matches the Rfam family "Bacterial small subunit ribosomal RNA", at positions 29 to 506 of the family's 1533-position model. The record is from RNAcentral.